RNAcentral lists this ribosomal RNA (496 nucleotides) under uncultured bacterium. RNAcentral describes it as "partial 16S ribosomal RNA". It matches the Rfam family "Bacterial small subunit ribosomal RNA", at positions 28 to 506 of the family's 1533-position model. The record is from RNAcentral.
GAUGAACGCUGGCGGCGUGCCUAAUACAUGCAAGUCGAGCGAACAGACGAGGAGCUUGCUCCUCUGACGUUAGCGGCGGACGGGUGAGUAACACGUGGAUAACCUACCUAUAAGACUGGGAUAACUUCGGGAAACCGGAGCUAAUACCGGAUAAUAUAUUGAACCGCAUGGUUCAAUAGUGAAAGACGGUUUUGCUGUCACUUAUAGAUGGAUCCGCGCCGCAUUAGCUAGUUGGUAAGGUAACGGCUUACCAAGGCAACGAUGCGUAGCCGACCUGAGAGGGUGAUCGGCCACCGGUGAACUGAGACCGGGCCCAGCCCCCGAGGGGAGGCAGCAGUAGGGAAUCUUCCGCAAGGGGCGAAAGCCUGACGGAGCAACGCCGGGGGAGUGAUGAAGGUUUUCGGUUCGUAAAACUUUUUUAUUAGGGAAAAAAAAAUGUGUAAGUAACUUUGCACGUUUUGACGGUACCUAAUCAAAAAGCCCCGGCUAACUACGG